Molecule: non-coding RNA, 47 nt
Organism: Aedes aegypti (yellow fever mosquito)
Lineage: Eukaryota; Metazoa; Arthropoda; Insecta; Diptera; Culicidae
Source: Rfam
AAAACGGCCCUUUUCAGGGCCACCAAACACAUUCCCAAAAGAGUUAU